UUAAAGUUGGAAUUUCAAAAGGCCUUUGACAGUGUGAGUUGGAGUUGCCUUUUGCAGAUCUUACAAGCUCGAGGCUUCCCGCAGAAAUGGACCCAAUGGAUUUCCUCCCUUCUAUCCACUGGCAAAUCGCGUGUGUUAAUGAAUGGAGAACUUGGUGAUGUUUUUUCUGCCAAGAAGGGCUUCCGUCAAGGGGAUUCUCUCUCUCCCUACCUUUUCAUCUUGGUUGCGGAUGUGCUCCAACGCCUAUGCUGCAUACAUUUCCAGGCCGGCAGCUUGCUGCACCCCCUCGGUUCAGAUGUUCUGUUUCCUGUUUUGCAAUAUGCGGAUGACACUCUACUCAUCUUCCAGGGAAAUUUGCAACAAGCUCAGGUUAUCAAAAACAUCCUUUCUGCCUUAUCAGGUUUCUCUGGCCUGCAAAUAAACUUCCACAAAAGCACAUUGAUCCCGGUUUCAGUUGAGACUGAUACUGCUUUGGAGAUUGCUCAUCUUCUUGGUUGUCCAGUCUCCUCCUUCCCGUGCACAUACCUCGGUCUGCCUUUGUCUUUGAAUAAGAUUACACAUGGUAUGCUCCUACCAGUGAUCCAUAAAGUCGACAAGACGCUGUCGGGCUGGCUAGCUACUUUUCUUUCAUGGGGAGGCAGGCUUACGCUGAUCAACUCGGUGCUUGCCGGCAUUCCGAGUUACUUCAUGACUUGCUUCCCAUGGCCAAAGGAGUCCAUCAAUAAGCUGGAGGGCUUGCCGCGCGCCUUCUUCUAG
RNAcentral lists this ribosomal RNA (756 nucleotides) under Triticum aestivum (bread wheat). Its description in RNAcentral is "partial small subunit ribosomal RNA". Lineage: Eukaryota; Viridiplantae; Streptophyta; Magnoliopsida; Poales; Poaceae. The record is from RNAcentral.